RNAcentral lists this long non-coding RNA (2920 nucleotides) under Volvox carteri. Its description in RNAcentral is "long non-coding RNA (VCAR_LNC002084)". Lineage: Eukaryota; Viridiplantae; Chlorophyta; Chlorophyceae; Chlamydomonadales; Volvocaceae. The record is from RNAcentral.
UAACUUCUAUAUCCGAGAUUAGGCUCUUAAUAGCUUAAUAUAAUGUAAAUUUAAUGUAGCUAACUACAAUCCGCUAGCCAGCAGAGAAUUUGCAUUGUGUCACGCAGUGCCGACCAAGGUGCACCUUAUAAUUAUAUGAAUCACUCUCCGUAGUUAAUUUGCCAUUGUAGUGCCUUAUCCGGAAGGAUAAUAGCUAAACGAAAAUGGUGUCGUCGACCAGACUGCCCCUAAAAAACAAAAUGAAAUCCCCAGUGCUUUGCUGCUGCCUUUUGCUGGCUAUAUCGUGGUCAUGGACUCCUACCGUGUAUGCCGCCGGUGAGCUUCCUCCGAGUAUUUGAAUGAACAAAAUAAAAUAUGCACGCAAAGCAUUACUCUUACAGUUCACCAAGAAUGGCCUCCCUCCCAGCCCCGCAGCACCAAAUGUGAGUGCUUGCCUUUCAUAAAGUUACAUACGUUGCAAACAUCCAUGCAUGCAAUUGCGUGCAUGAAAAUUCACCAUAGUACAUAAAUGGCGAAGUAGGAAUCAGCGGCUUGUUUUUACCCCAGCCAUAUUCACAGCAGAUAACGACUGAGUAUUACACAGAAGCCAGCUCAUUUAUGUAGCUACCCUGCAUCUGACGUUCUGUACUCCGCCGAUAAGGCAAAUCAUUCCAUCUAUUUGUUCAAGAUCUUUGUAAUGUACAAGUCCGAUAAAACAUGACUGACCUAAACGCAGUCCCAAAAGCUGUGUAAUGCAAACACGACUUGCCAUGGCAUGGGCGUCAAAGCCUGCAUCUAAAUGGUUAUAGAUCUAUUACCAUCGCCGUUUCUUAAACCCCCUUACCCUUAGCCUUUGUUUCCCUAAGAUCCUCUUCAGUCAAGACCCCAACUGGCAACCCCACCUCCUCCGUCUGUACACCUUUCCUUUUCUUUCCAAACACAUUGGCUGCGUGCUUGGAAAGGUUGCACACCACCUGCCGGUUGGUGCGUGAGCGUGGAAAUGGAGGACGUGUUUCGGGUCCUCGAUUGCGAUGGCGAUGGACUGCUGGACCUCACCUGUGUCAACAAGCUAGGCAACCGCUGGGCGCUGCUCACGACUAGGAAUUGUGAUGGAGACUUUGGGGGCAAUGCGCCGGCAGAUGUUUGCCCCAGAGUCUUUGCAGUUCCACCACCACCGCCGCCUUCAACACCACCUUCACCAACAUUCACAGGUUAGCAUGGCCUUGGUGCCCGAAGCCCGGGCUUUAAGGAAUGGAAUAUUUACGGAGCACUCUUCUGUCUGAGAGGACAUGCUGUGUAUGUUGUAAUAUUGUCGUGCAACUGCAUGCGGCACGCUGCCGUGCAAGUGUAGAUUUGUUUAAUGUUAACCACAUCGUGUCCUAGCGUAAGAGCUAGGGUCGGGUCCUGUGUAACAUCCAAGGGCAUGACCAAUAGAUGGUAGUACAUACUUACAUAGUAGGAUAGGGAUUUAAACUCAACCGGGGUUUUACGAACGGGGCUCAGUCGAUGAGCAUGUGGUUGUUCGACUAACCAACUAACCUCACUUCCUCCGUCUGUACACCUUUCCUUUUCUUUCCAAACACAUUGGCUGCGUGCUUGGAAAGGUUGCACACCACCUGCCGGUUGGUGCGUGAGCGUGGAAAUGGAGGACGUCUAUAGGGUCCUCGAUUGCGAUGGCGAUGGACUGCUGGACCUCACCUGUGUCAACAAGCUGGGCAACCGCUGGGCGCUGCUCACGACUAGGAAUUGUGAUGGAGACUUUGGGGGCAGUGCGCCGGCAGAUGUUUGCCCCAGAGUCUUUGCAGUUCCACCACCACCGCCGCCUUCAACACCACCUUCACCAACAUUCACAGGUUAGCAUGGCCUUGGUGCCCGAAGCCGGGGCUUUAAGGAAUGGAAUAUUUAUGGAGCACUCUUCUGUCUGAGAGGACAUGAUGUGUAUGUUGUAAUAUUGUCGUGCAACUGCAUGCGGCACGCUGCCGUGCAAGUGUAGAUUUGUUUUAAUGUUAACCACAUCGUGUCCUAGCGUAAGAGCUAGGGUCGGGUCCUGUGUAACAUCCAAGGGCAUGAAUAAGGGAUUAUGGGGAUUUAAACUCAACCGGGUUUGUACGAACGGGGCCCAGUCGAUGAGCAAGUGGUUGUUUGACUAACCAACUAACCUCACUUCCUCCGUCUGUACACCUUCCCUUUUCUUUCCAAACACAUUGGCUGCGUGCUGGGAAAGGUUGCACACCACCUGCCGGUUGGUGCGUGAGCGUGGAAAUGGAGGACGUCUAUAGGGUCCUCGAUUGCGAUGGCGAUGGACUGCUGGACCUCACCUGUGUCAACAAGCUGGGCAACCGCUGGGCGCUGCUCACGACUAGGAAUUGUGAUGGAGACUUUGGGGGCAGUGCGCCGGCAGAUGUUUGCCCCAGAGUCUUUGCAGUUCCACCACCACCGCCGCCUUCAACACCACCUUCACCAACAUUCACAGGUUAGCAUGGCCUUGGUGCCCGAAGCCCGGGCUUUAAGGAAUGGAAUAUUUAUGGAGCACUCUUCUGUCUGAGAGGACAUGCUGUGUAUGUUGUAAUAUUGUCGUGCAACUGCAUGCGGCACGCUGCCGUGCAAGUGUAGAUUUGUUUUAAUCAUAAAAACAUCGUGUCUUAGCGUAAGAGCUAGGGUCGGGUCCUGUGUAACAUCCAAGGGCAUGAAUAAGGGAUGAUGGGGAUUUAAACUCAACCGGGUUUGUACGAACGGGGCCCAGUCGAUGAGCAAGUGGUUGUUUGACUAACCAACUAACCUCACUUCCUCGUCUGUACACCUUCCCUUUUCUUUCCAAACACAUUGGCUGCGUGCUUGGAAAGGUUGCACACCACCUGCCGGUUGGUGCGUGAGCGUGGAAAUGGAGGACGUCUUUAGGGUCCUCGAUUGCGAUGGCGAUGGACUGCUGGACCUCACCUGU